This is a non-coding RNA of Peromyscus leucopus (white-footed mouse), 595 nucleotides long. The record is from the annotation of a RefSeq genome assembly. NCBI's taxonomy places the organism in Eukaryota, Metazoa, Chordata, Mammalia, Rodentia, Cricetidae.
AAUACAAGUAGCUGACUUGGCAAGAGAUUGCAAGUCUGUACUGAUCCCAGGCUGGAAGAACAAUGAAGACAUCUAUUCACGCUUUAUUCCUGCUCUUGUGCCUGUGGAUGGACUGGGAGAGCCUUGGAGAGCAGCUGGAGCAGCAGCCUUCCACUCUGAAUGUUGGAGAGGGAGACAGCGCCAUCAUCAACUGCACUUACACAGGCAGUAGUUCAUCAUACUUCCCUUGGUACAAGCAAGAAGCUGGGAAGAGCCCUCACCUUGUGAUAGACAUUUUUGAAAAUGUGGACAGAAAGCAAAACCAGAGACUUACCAUUUUAUUGGAUAAGAAAACCAAAAAAUUAUCCCUGCACAUCACAGCCACACAGCCUGGAGACUCUGCCAUCUACUUCUGUGCAGCAAGCACACACUGGUUCCCAGGCACCUGCAGCCUGUUCUCAAACCAGCUAGGGGGGCUGGAGCUCUAUCCAUAUCCUGUGUCUUAUAGUAAAGCAUUUGUCACAUUGUUUAUUUGCCAUGGAAACUAACAUACAGAUGUUAGGGGAUAAAUGAGAAAGUUAGGCUCAAAGUGAUGAGAGACAGACUGAGACCGAGA